GAAAGGGUGACCUUUGGACAGCGAGCCAGCAACCAGGGCUUCCGAAAUACGGGGAUUUCGACAGAAGCCGCUUUUAAGGUGGGCCCAGGAACGGCAAGAAUCGCUCUGAACCCACCCCGAGAUCUGCGACCUGCCUACGGAAAAGCCAUUCCGCAUCACUGUGAGACAAACCCUUGACUGAGGGCAGGUGAAGGUGGAAAACAGAGAAACGCCAUCCGCGAGCGAGUAAAGCCAACCGACACGCGGCUCCCUGCGGCAGCUGAACCCCAUCUUCCUUACUCCACCCCCUCUUCCCCAUUUGCACCCAGCCGGCUGCAACCGAGGUUUUUUUUUCACCCCAAUUCACGCGAAAAGGCAGCUUCCUACAAAUCCAGAUGGAGGCGCGGCCCAGCGACGGAGGCAGCGGGCGCGCUCCCUCGCCCCUCCCGGCACCGGGCCGGGUCCUCACCUGCUUCCCGGCGCCGCCGCUUCUCCUCGUCGGGCCGCGCGGACGGGUGGGAGCCCUCCAACAACCAGAAGCCGGACUCCGCGGCGAUUCGGCUCCUUCUUUAAACGUCGCUCCAGUCUUGGUCGACGUCGACGCGGCUGCCGCCACCGCUGCUACAGCUGCCCCACGCCACCGACAGAGGGCACAGCGCGGGGGCGCAGCGCCGAAGUCGAAGGCGCCCUCCUUCUCCGAGCGCAGUUCGGGUCUUUCCGGAAGGGCCCGAGCUCUAGGCGGCCCCGCUUCGGCGCCCGGCUCUCCCUUCGGCUCCUUCCGCAGGGGGCGGAGUGAGACUGGGAAGCUCUGGGAGCGUUCGGCCCUUUCCGGAGGGCGAAAGGGUGGGAAAAAGGGAAGGGAAAGAUGGGGUAAUGCAGUCAAUCACGAGCGGUUGGGAUCCUAAAUUAGGCGCAAGCUUCUAGGGCGUGAAAACUUUUCGAGACCGUACGAGUUUCAUUUCUUUUGCAAGUUUGAACCUGCUCGAUUAGCCCGUUUCUUAGACGAUAAACCACCUUGAAAUAUAAUCUGAAUAAAUAUAAUCAAGUCGAAUUGAUCGACUAAGGA
RNAcentral lists this long non-coding RNA (1045 nucleotides) under Ursus americanus (American black bear). RNAcentral's name for it is "lncRNA (ENSUAMG00000024844.1)". Lineage: Eukaryota; Metazoa; Chordata; Mammalia; Carnivora; Ursidae. The record is from RNAcentral.